UACGUAGGGGGCAAGCGUUGUCCGGAUUCAUUGGGCGUAAAGAGCUCGUAGGCGGCUUGGCAAGUCGGGUGUGAAAACUCCAGGCUCAACCUGGAGCGGCCACUCGAUACUGCCAUGGCUUGAGUCCGGUAGGGGACCACGGAAUUCCUGGUGUAGCGGUGAAAUGCGCAGAUAUCAGGAGGAACACCAGUGGCGAAGGCGGUGGUCUGGGCCGGGACUGACGCUGAGGAGCGAAAGCGUGGGGAGCGAACAGG
RNAcentral lists this ribosomal RNA (254 nucleotides) under uncultured bacterium. RNAcentral describes it as "partial 16S ribosomal RNA". It matches the Rfam family "Bacterial small subunit ribosomal RNA", at positions 524 to 776 of the family's 1533-position model. The record is from RNAcentral.